GGGCCGUUAGCUCAGUUGGUAGAGCAGUUGACUUUUAAUCAAUUGGUCGCAGGUUCGAAUCCCGCACGACCCACCA
RNAcentral lists this transfer RNA (76 nucleotides) under Yersinia bercovieri. Its description in RNAcentral is "tRNA-Lys(ttt)". It matches the Rfam family "tRNA". From Rfam's summary of the family: Transfer RNA (tRNA) molecules are approximately 80 nucleotides in length. RNAcentral also lists the same sequence under 2 other names. The record is from RNAcentral. Lineage: Bacteria; Pseudomonadati; Pseudomonadota; Gammaproteobacteria; Enterobacterales; Yersiniaceae.